RNAcentral lists this ribosomal RNA (253 nucleotides) under uncultured bacterium. RNAcentral's name for it is "partial 16S ribosomal RNA". It matches the Rfam family "Bacterial small subunit ribosomal RNA", at positions 524 to 776 of the family's 1533-position model. The record is from RNAcentral.
UACGAGUGCCCUAAGCGUUAUCCGGAAUCAUUGGGCGUAAAGGGCUCGUAGGUGGCCAACUAAGUCAGACGUGAAAUCCCUCGGCUUAACCGGGGAACUGCGUCUGAUACUGGAUGGCUUGAGUUCGGGAGAGGGAUGCGGAAUUCCAGGUGUAGCGGUGAAAUGCGUAGAUAUCUGGAGGAACACCGGUGGCGAAGGCGGCUUUCUGGACAGAAACUGACGCUGAUGCGCGAAAGCUAGGGGAGCAAACAGG